GUCCUUGUGGCACCUCAGAGACUAACAAAUUAUUUGGGCAUAAGCAUUUGUGGGCCUAGAACCCAUUUCAUACAGCUGCAAGGAGAGGAAAAU
This is a non-coding RNA of Chelonoidis abingdonii (Abingdon island giant tortoise), 93 nucleotides long. Lineage: Eukaryota; Metazoa; Chordata; Testudines; Testudinidae. The record is from RefSeq and is a predicted model, not a curated record.